This 129-nucleotide unclassified non-coding RNA is filed under the name uncultured fungus. RNAcentral describes it as "sequence contains ITS1". Lineage: Eukaryota; Fungi. The record is from RNAcentral.
AUGAUGAUUAUCAUGAUUACGUUCUGUACUACAUGGUUUGAAGAGGCCGAAGCCACGGUUCACAGUGUGUUUGGUUAAACGGCUUGCGCCGCAUCUUUAAUGAUCCUUCCGCAGGUUCACCUACGGAAA